GACGAACGCUGGCGGCGUGCUUAACACAUGCAAGUCGAACGGAAAGGCCCUGCUUUUGUGGGGUGCUCGAGUGGCGAACGGGUGAGUAACACGUGAGUAACCUGCCCUUGACUUUGGGAUAACUUCAGGAAACUGGGGCUAAUACCGGAUAGGAGCUCCUGCUGCAUGGUGGGGGUUGGAAAGUUUCGGCGGUUGGGGAUGGACUCGCGGCUUAUCAGCUUGUUGGUGGGGUAGUGGCUUACCAAGGCUUUGACGGGUAGCCGGCCUGAUAGGGUGACCGGCCACAUUGGGACUGAGAUACGGCCCAGACUCCUACGGGAGGCAGCAGUGGGGAAUAGUGCACAAUGGGCGGAAGCCUGAUGCAGCAACGCCGCGUGCGGGAUGACGGCCUUCGGGUUGUAAACCGCUUUCGCCUGGGACGAAGCGUGAGUGACGGUAAUGGGUAAAGAAGCACCGGCUAACUACGUG
This 468-nucleotide ribosomal RNA is filed under the name uncultured bacterium. Its description in RNAcentral is "partial 16S ribosomal RNA". It matches the Rfam family "Bacterial small subunit ribosomal RNA", at positions 28 to 507 of the family's 1533-position model. The record is from RNAcentral.